Aedes albopictus (Asian tiger mosquito) is the source of this 1498-nucleotide long non-coding RNA. RefSeq lists it as uncharacterized. The transcript has 2 exons. The record is from RefSeq and is a predicted model, not a curated record. Lineage: Eukaryota; Metazoa; Arthropoda; Insecta; Diptera; Culicidae.
CAAUCUGCAGUAGUCGAGCGAUUGCCUCAGCAUUUGCUCACCCGUCUCCAUUUUGGCAAGCAUUCUUGCGUUACAUCGCCUAAACUAAAGCUUAGUUUCGUGUUUCAAUGGAAUCGCUCAAGAAAUUUCUUGACCGAUUCCUGGCAGAAACUUUCUACAGUGACUGCCAUUUGAAUUGUCAUUUCUUUGCAAUUGCGUUCUGCAAUCGGAGAAAAGACGGUUUCUUGCGCGAUUCAGGCAAGGAAUUUCCCAUGCAUCAAGAUAGGCCGAGAAAUUUCUUCUGAUCUGCAAACAGUCCUUAAACAUAGAAGACCACCAGUACCUCUAUCCCAUGUAAACCUGUCAGUUUCAUGCAGCCAUGGAAUAGCAACCACGGGCAAUCAGCCAGGGGAUCACCAGUACAAAUUCCAGUUCUGGCUUUCAGAGUGAGUCUCCGUGCGUAGAUAAAAGUGCACUUCAAUGGAGAGCUCGUAUACACUUACGUUUGUAGAAGCGAUGAUUUCCUCAGUUAAAAGUAUUCAACAAGCUGAGAGACAGGAAUGUUUGAACUCGGCGGUUGCAUUUUCCAAUUCGUUCUCACAGUGAGAUAUCGUGCAGCGAGUCCUCGCCAUUAUACCAUUAUCGCCGGUAUACCGGUGCGUUGGCAAGCUCAUCAGCUUCGUCCUGCAGUGUGACCUGAGUUCUUCAUUUUGCUCGGCUAUUGCUGCUUUCGAGAACAUAUCUAUCGAGGACCAGAGGUGAAUCUCAGUGCACUGUGCUACACCACCAAAAACAGCUUGGGAGGCAGACUCAAGAAGCCUCUUUUGUGCCACCGAGUUCAAGAGCUUGAUUGUAUUGCAAUGUAAAGACCAAUGCAGUGGCGACCUGUAGCCAGUAGGAUGGAGAAGGCUAGGAGUUGGUAGUGAGAUCGGAGACGGAAGGGUCAUAACGCAGAAGAUAGCUUAGCCACGACGAAUGCUGUUUAAGUAGGCAGUGCGUUUCCCCCGCUCGGAAUCACUGAAGAAGAGUGAGUAGAAAGGAGAGUUAUACCCCAGACAGACAUGUGAUACGAGUGUGAUUCCUGUACAACGGCACGCAGUGUCAAGAAAAUUUCAACAAGACUGACUUGAGCUGAAAGUAUGGCACUCAUUUCAAGCGCAAUUGUACAGUGAUUCUUGUAUCACAUGUGUGUCAUAAGUAUUACGUGUGCCUGGAGGACCCAGGUUGUUUAGAACGGAAAUUUGUACGAAUUUGUCAACAUUGUUCCAAAGGCACCGUCAUCGGUGGCAACGCUCAUCACCGUCUAGGCUAUUAUCGCUCUUUGUAGCAAACUGCUUCUGUCGACCGCAUAUCAACAUUCUGCUGUACAAGCUGUACAAUCUAUUUUGCGGAGAUCGCUAUUGCUGAGCGUUAGCAGGCCUCUCACUGUGAUCACACUAGUUUACAAAAUAAAACGAAAGUCGUGAACUUCUGUCAACGACCAAAAUUUUUGAAGCAUAAUUUAGCGCUGAUUUCGAAA